This 393-nucleotide ribosomal RNA is filed under the name uncultured bacterium. RNAcentral describes it as "partial 16S ribosomal RNA". It matches the Rfam family "Bacterial small subunit ribosomal RNA", at positions 523 to 918 of the family's 1533-position model. The record is from RNAcentral.
AUACGUAGGGGGCAAGCGUUAUCCGGAAUCAUUGGGCGUAAAGAGUGCGUAGGUGGUUUCUUAAGCGUGGGGUUUAAGGCUACGGCUUAACCGUAGUUCGCCCCAUGAACUGGGAGACUUGAGUGCAGGAGGGGAAAGUGGAAUUCCUAGUGUAGCGGUGAAAUGCGUAGAUAUUAGGAGGAACACCAGUGGCGAAGGCGACUUUCUGGACUGUAACUGACACUGAGGCACGAAAGCGUGGGGAGCAAACAGGAUUAGAUACCCUGGUAGUCCACGCCGUAAACGAUGAGCACUAGGUGUCGGGGAGACAAUCCUCGGUGCCGCAGUUAACGCAUUAAGUGCUCCGCCUGGGGAGUACGUUCGCAAGAAUGAAACUUAAAGGAAUUGACGGGG